RNAcentral lists this transfer RNA (62 nucleotides) under Macrocheles nataliae. Its description in RNAcentral is "tRNA-Met". The record is from RNAcentral. Lineage: Eukaryota; Metazoa; Arthropoda; Arachnida; Mesostigmata; Macrochelidae.
UAUAAAGUAAGCUAAUUAAGCUUGUGGACUCAUAAUCCGUACAUGAUAAAAAUCCUUUAUUA